AGAGUUUGAUCAUGGCUCAGGACGAACGCUGGCGGCGUGCUUAACACAUGCAAGUCGAACGCGCCUGCCUUUGGGUGGGUGAGUGGCGAACGGGUGAGUAACACGUGGGUGACCUGCCCUUCACUCUGGGAUAAGCUUGGGAAACUGGGUCUAAUACCGGAUAUGACACUGUCUCGCAUGGGGUGGUGUGGAAAGCUUUUGUGGUGGGGGAUGGGCCCGCGGCCUAUCAGCUUGUUGGUGGGGUGAUGGCCUACCAAGGCUUCGACGGGUAGCCGGCCUGAGAGGGCGUCCGGCCACACUGGGACUGAGACACGGCCCAGACUCCUACGGGAGGCAGCAGUGGGGAAUAUUGCGCAAUGGGCGGAAGCCUGACGCAGCGACGCCGCGUGGGGGAUGACGGCCUUCGGGUUGUAAACCUCUUUCGACCUCGACGAAGCGUUUCGGCGUGACGGUAGGGGUGGAAGAAGCACCGGCCAACUACGUGCCAGCAGCCGCGGUAAUACGUAGGGUGCGAGCGUUGUCCGGAAUUAUUGGGCGUAAAGAGCUCGUAGGCGGUGUGUCACGUCGGCCGUGAAAACCUGCAGCUUAACUGUGGGCGUGCGGUCGAUACGGGCAUCACUGGAGUUCGGCAGGGGAGACUGGAAUUCCUGGUGUAGCGGUGAAAUGCGCAGAUAUCAGGAGGAACACCGGUGGCGAAGGCGGGUCUCUGGGCCGAUACUGACGCUGAGGAGCGAAAGCGUGGGGAGCGAACAGGAUUAGAUACCCUAGUAGUCC
This 774-nucleotide ribosomal RNA is filed under the name uncultured bacterium. RNAcentral's name for it is "bacterial SSU rRNA". It matches the Rfam family "Bacterial small subunit ribosomal RNA", at positions 8 to 796 of the family's 1533-position model. The record is from RNAcentral.